CACGUAUGGGGCGAGCGUUGUUCGGAAUUAUUGGGCGUAAAGGGUAUGCAGGCGGUUUAUCAAGUCUGGUGUGUAAGACUUCAGCUUAACUGAGGGAACGCACUGGAAACUGGUAGACUAGAGUACAGGAAGGGGAGUUGGAAUUCCAGGUGUAGGGGUGAAAUCUGUAGAUAUCUGGAAGAACAUCAGUGGCGAAGGCGAACUCCUGGCCAUGUACUGACGCUGAGAUACGAAAGCAUGGGGAGCAAACAGG
This 253-nucleotide ribosomal RNA is filed under the name uncultured Spirochaeta sp. RNAcentral describes it as "partial 16S ribosomal RNA". It matches the Rfam family "Bacterial small subunit ribosomal RNA", at positions 524 to 776 of the family's 1533-position model. The record is from RNAcentral. Lineage: Bacteria; Pseudomonadati; Spirochaetota; Spirochaetia; Spirochaetales; Spirochaetaceae.